Molecule: ribosomal RNA, 450 nt
Filed under: uncultured bacterium
Lineage: Bacteria
Description: partial 16S ribosomal RNA
Rfam family: Bacterial small subunit ribosomal RNA
Source: RNAcentral
GUGGGGAAUAUUGGACAAUGGGCGAAAGCCUGAUCCAGCCAUGCCGCGUGUGUGAAGAAGGUCUUCGGAUUGUAAAGCACUUUAAGUUGGGAGGAAGGGCAGUAAGUUAAUACCUUGCUGUUUUGACGUUACCGACAGAAUAAGCACCGGCUAACUUCGUGCCAGCAGCCGCGGUAAUACGAAGGGUGCAAGCGUUAAUCGGAAUUACUGGGCGUAAAGCGCGCGUAGGUGGUUCAGCAAGUUGGAGGUGAAAUCCCCGGGCUCAACCUGGGAACUGCCUCCAAAACUGCAUGACUAGAGUACGGUAGAGGGUAGUGGAAUUUCCUGUGUAGCGGUGAAAUGCGUAGAUAUAGGAAGGAACACCAGUGGCGAAGGCGCCUUUCUGGACUGUGUCUGACGCUGAGAUGCGAAAGCCAGGGUAGCGAACGGGAUUAGAAACCCUUGUAGUCC